This 427-nucleotide ribosomal RNA is filed under the name uncultured bacterium. RNAcentral describes it as "bacterial SSU rRNA". It matches the Rfam family "Bacterial small subunit ribosomal RNA", at positions 340 to 762 of the family's 1533-position model. The record is from RNAcentral.
UACGGAAGGCAGCAGUAGGGAAUAUUGGGCAAUGGGCGAGAGCCUGACCCAGCCAUGCCGCGUGGAGGAUGAAGGCGCUCAGCGUUGUAAACUUCUUUUAGCUGGGAAGAACGGCAGUCCUGCGGGAUUGUGUGACGGUACCAGCGGAAUAAGCACCGGCUAACUCCGUGCCAGCAGCCGCGGUAAUACGGAGGGUGCGAGCGUUGUCCGGAUUUAUUGGGUUUAAAGGGUGCGUAGGUGGCCUGUUAAGUCUGGUUUUGAAAGCAGGCGGCUUAACCGUCUGAUGUGGCUGGAAACUGGGAGGCUUGAAUGCGGGAGCGGCUGCCGGAACGGGUCAUGUAGCGGUGAAAUGCAUAGAUAUGACCCAGAACACCGAUUGCGAAGGCAGGGCAGCCAGGCCGUGAUUGACACUGAGGCACGAGAGCAU